GACGAACGCUGGCGGCGUGCUUAACACAUGCAAGUCGAGCGGUAAGGCCCUUUCGGGGGUACACGAGCGGCGAACGGGUGAGUAACACGUGGGUGACCUGCCCUCAGCUCUGGGAUAAGCCUGGGAAACCGGGUCUAAUACUGGAUAUGACUCCAUGACGCAUGUUGUGGGGUGGAAAGCCUUGUGCGGCUGAGGAUGGGCCCGCGGCCUAUCAGCUUGUUGGUGGGGUGAUGGCCUACCAAGGCGACGAUCGGUAGCUGGUCUGAGAGGACGACCAGCCACACUGGGACUGAGACACGGGCCCAGACUCCUACGGGAGGCAGCAGUGGGGAAUAUUGGACAAUGGGCGCAAGCCUGAUCCAGCGAUGCCGCGUGUGUGAAGAAGGCCUGGCGGGUUGUAAAGCACUUUCAGUAGGGAAGAAAAGCCGAGUGCUAAUAUCAUUUCGGU
RNAcentral lists this ribosomal RNA (448 nucleotides) under uncultured bacterium. RNAcentral's name for it is "bacterial SSU rRNA". It matches the Rfam family "Bacterial small subunit ribosomal RNA", at positions 28 to 468 of the family's 1533-position model. The record is from RNAcentral.